GGGUCGUGGGUAGGACUCUGGGUCACCUCCCACCCGUGUUUAUCGUACCUUGUUGCUUCGGCGGGCCCGCCUCACGGCCGCCGGGGGGCAUCCGCCCCCGGGCCCGCGCCCGCCGAAGACACACAAACGAACUCUUGUCUGAAGAUUGCAGUCUGAGUACUUGACUAAAUCAGUUAAAACUUUCAACAACGGAUCUCUUGGUUCCGGCAUCGAUGAAGAACGCAGCGAAAUGCGAUAAGUAAUGUGAAUUGCAGAAUUCAGUGAAUCAUCGAGUCUUUGAACGCACAUUGCGCCCCCUGGUAUUCCGGGGGGCAUGCCUGUCCGAGCGUCAUUGCUGCCCUCAAGCACGGCUUGUGUGUUGGGCUCUCGCCCCCCGCUUCCGGGGGGCGGGCCCGAAAGGCAGCGGCGGCACCGCGUCCGGUCCUCGAGCGUAUGGGGCUUCGUCACCCGCUCUGUAGGCCCGGCCGGCGCCCGCCUGCGAACACCAUCAAUCUUAACCAGGUUGACCUCGGAUCAGGUAGGGAUACCCGCUGAACUUAAGCAUAUCAAAAGCGGAGGAA
This 560-nucleotide ribosomal RNA is filed under the name Penicillium oxalicum. Its description in RNAcentral is "eukaryotic LSU rRNA". The stretch from base 178 to 331 matches the Rfam family "5.8S ribosomal RNA". The record is from RNAcentral. Lineage: Eukaryota; Fungi; Ascomycota; Eurotiomycetes; Eurotiales; Aspergillaceae.